RNAcentral lists this ribosomal RNA (492 nucleotides) under uncultured bacterium. RNAcentral's name for it is "partial 16S ribosomal RNA". It matches the Rfam family "Bacterial small subunit ribosomal RNA", at positions 29 to 507 of the family's 1533-position model. The record is from RNAcentral.
AGUGAACGCUGGCGGUAGGCCUAACACAUGCAAGUCGAACGGCAGCACAGUAAGAGCUUGCUCUUACUGGUGGCGAGUGGCGGACGGGUGAGGAAUACAUCGGAAUCUACUUUUUCGUGGGUGAUAACGUAGGGAAACUUACGCUAAUACCGCAUACGACCUACGGGUGAAAUCAGGGGAUCUUCGGACCUUGCGCGAUUGAAUGAGCCGAUGUCGGAUUAGCUAGUUUGCGGGGUAAAGGCCCACCAAGGCGACGAUCCGUAGCUGGUCUGAGAGGAUGAUCAGCCACACUGGAACUGAGACACGGUCCAGACUCCUACGGGAGGCAGCAGUGGGGAAUAUUGGACAAUGGGCGCAAGCCUGAUCCAGCCAUACCGCGUGGGUGAAGAAGGCCUUCGGGUUGUAAAGCCCUUUUGUUGGGAAAGAAAAGCAGCAGGUUAAUACCCCGAUGUUCUGACGGUACCCAAAGAAUAAGCACCGGCUAACUUCGUG